Molecule: ribosomal RNA, 423 nt
Filed under: uncultured bacterium
Lineage: Bacteria
Description: bacterial SSU rRNA
Rfam family: Bacterial small subunit ribosomal RNA
Source: RNAcentral
AAGACCUUGCACUUUUGGAGCGGCCGAUGUCUGAUUAGCUAGUUGGUGGGGUAAAGGCCUACCAAGGCAUCGAUCAGUAGCUGGUCUGAGAGGACGACCAGCCACACUGGGACUGAGACACGGCCCAGACUCCUACGGGAGGCAGCAGUGGGGAAUUUUGGACAAUGGGGGCAACCCUGAUCCAGCCAUGCCGCGUGAGUGAAGAAGGCCUUCGGGUUGUAAAGCUCUUUCAGCCGGAACGAAACGGUUACGGAUAAUACCCGUGACUACUGACGGUACCGGAAGAAGAAGCACCGGCUAACUACGUGCCAGCAGCCGCGGUAAUACGUAGGGUGCAAGCGUUAAUCGGAAUUACUGGGCGUAAAGCGUGCGCAGGUGGUUUUGUAAGUCAGAUGUGAAAGCCCCGGGCUCAACCUGGGAACU